AAUGUCCUGGACAUUUAGGGAACAUUCGGUGAACAUCUGUUUAAAUUAUUCCUGGAAUGUUACCAUAAGACAUUCUGUGAACAUACUACCAAUGUUCCUAUAUUUUAAGUUGCGAAAUAAUACAUACGUGUAAGAGAUACAACAUUACUUAUAACAUACCAGACAAACUAAGUGACAUUUUAGGCCUACAGUGCAAUAAUAUGUCAAAUUUAAAGAGUUUCCCAAGUUCAAUUAAUACAAUAUUAUAAACAUACAAAUGUAAUAAAAAUUAUUGUUCGCGAAUAUUCAAUUUGGAAUGCGAUUUUGUUAAUAAAAAAAAUACUUAUAACUUAUGCAAAACCCAAGAGAGGCAUUUAUAUUUAUUUCUUUUGCGUUCAUUUUCAAAUUCGCCGUGCAUAUAUUUUUGUGCAUGGCGCUUGAGAGGGCAUCACGUGACUAAAAACGACCAACCAACGACCUCGCUUCGGCCAUCUUGGCAUCUUCAUCUUGGCGACUGGCGACCUUGCCCGGCCUUGCCUUGCCGUGGAUUGUUUGUAUUAUUUUGUGCUUUUUAAGAAUAUUUUUUUAAUUCGGAUACUUUUAUAAUAGCUUUAAUAGUAUUAUUAACAUUGUGCAUAAAAUGGUGUCCUGUUUUUAACGCAGUUGGAGUAGCAGAAACAAAUGUAGAUAAAAAAAUCUGCAGGAAUAACGUUUCAAUUAUGACAAAAGCUCAAAACAAAUGACUAUGAAUGAACAGCCCUAUUAAAAGCUUUCCAGAAGAUCCUGCGAAGAAGACAUGAAGUAUAGAUCAGAUUUGUUAAUAGAGGAGUAUGUUCAAAACACUUUUUAGAAAAAGAUAUUGACAGAACUUCACUUUCAUCUGUUCGUUUGAGAGACUGUGCUGUUCCAAUAGCUUAUGUCACACAGAAUCAGCUGAGAGAAGUGGUCUACAAAAAACCAGAAAGGAAACAGAAUAUGUGGCUACGAAAAGCAAAAGAAAGGUUUACAAAGCAAAUGUGACACAUUUUUUUAUAAUAUUUAGGAAUGUCAGCAAAUUACAUUAAAAAAUGUAUGUAAAGAUUUUUUGCAAUAAAAAUGUUUAUAUUUA
This is a long non-coding RNA of Diabrotica virgifera virgifera (western corn rootworm), 1087 nucleotides long. RefSeq lists it as uncharacterized. The record is from RefSeq and is a predicted model, not a curated record. The transcript has 3 exons. NCBI's taxonomy places the organism in Eukaryota, Metazoa, Arthropoda, Insecta, Coleoptera, Chrysomelidae.